Molecule: ribosomal RNA, 273 nt
Filed under: Klebsiella aerogenes
Lineage: Bacteria; Pseudomonadati; Pseudomonadota; Gammaproteobacteria; Enterobacterales; Enterobacteriaceae
Description: partial 16S ribosomal RNA
Rfam family: Bacterial small subunit ribosomal RNA
Source: RNAcentral
ACGGUCCAGACUCCUACGGGAGGCAGCAGUGGGGAAUAUUGCACAAUGGGCGCAAGCCUGAUGCAGCCAUGCCGCGUGUAUGAAGAAGGCCUUCGGGUUGUAAAGUACUUUCAGCGAGGAGGAAGGCAUUAAGGUUAAUAACCUUAGUGAUUGACGUUACUCGCAGAAGAAGCACCGGCUAACUCCGUGCCAGCAGCCGCGGUAAUACGGAGGGUGCAAGCGUUAAUCGGAAUUACUGGGCGUAAAGCGCACGCAGGCGGUCUGUCAAGUCGG